UCACCUUAGGGUAGUGGCAGGUUUCAGUGAGUUCUUUUUUACCCAGUUCAUUUUACAAAUGUGAUGAUGUGGAAUAGGUUUUAAAGUUGAGUACUUAAAGCCUCGUGUGGUGGUGUUUGGUUGAGAGAGAGAGAGAGAGACGCCGUUACCGCCAUGCCUACUGCUAGCGUUGGAAGGGAUCAUUUUUUUGCUGCCCUUGGCAGAUCUUACACUCAGGAAGAGUUUGAAGAUCUGUGUUUCAGUUUUGGGGUUGAACUUGACGAUGUGGUGAUUUUUUUUUCUACACUUUGUCUUUGGGAAAACAAUGGAUAUGUGUGAAUUUUGAUAGGAUAUUGUUAUUGUGAACUAGACAAUGGACAAAGCAAUAAUUUUGAAAGAGAAGCACUUUGAGGAGGAAAAAUCUAGUCUUAAUGAUGAAGUCAUUUACUAGAUUUACAAGAUUGAAGUUUCUACUAACAGGUUUCCAUUGCUUAUCUGUGACUUCAGAAUUUUCUUUUGACAGAAUUCAACAGUGUAGUAUUGCUAGGAAAAAAAACUUUUAUCCCGUUUCGACAGAAAAAAACUGAGUUAUACCCUUAUUGACUGUUGCUAAUGUGUUUAUUUUAAUCUUCUUAAAGCCAUAGGUGCAGUAACUAUUAGAUUUUCGUAAAAAGAGCUUCAAGUUGGGGUUCAUCUACUACUGUUAACCUGAAAUUGGAGAGAAUUACUUGGAGGAAAAGAGCAUGCUUCAAUUUUUUUUUUUUGCCUUGAAACUUGAUAAUUCAUGUAAAUGAGAAAAAAAAAUACUGGUGAAGGUUUUGUUUGAUUCCUAGCCAGGCAUGAUUUGCUUUGCUUGGAAGGGUUUGCACCCAGAUAUACAGUUGCCAACAUUCGUAAGGAAUCAAUGCUUAAAAUGCAUGUGAAAAAAGAGACAUCUCUAAUCCACCCCUUUGUUGUUUGUGUGGUUUUGAGGGGCAUAACUUUUGAUGAAGCAAGCUAUAACAGCUUCAUUGAUCUGCAGGAUAAGUUGUACCAAAAUAUCUACAGGCAUUGCCACCUCUAGAGAUAAAUUUUGUGCCACUAAAACAGGUAAUUUAUCAUAUAUGGGAAUAAUAGUAUUUUCAAUAUACAUAUUAACUAAAAAAACUACUUCUACCUUGCUAGUGUGAGUUCCAUUUGAUCUAGCCAUGAGGAACUUAGCUUAUAUUUGAGAGAGAAAAUGAUUAGUUUUAUUUUUUGUUAACCUUGUACCAUCUUCAAUUAGAAAUUUAGUACUAAUUGCUCAAUUUGAUCUUGCUUCUAUUACUAUAUUUGAAACAAAAAUUAUAUUUUUACAUUAAAUUUUUUGUUUACAUAAAUUUAUAUUCCAUCUGUUGUUUGAGACAAUAGAAUUCUCUAUUGACAAUUUGCCUUGUUUGCAACCAAGACAUAGUUUUCCUAUGUAAAUGUUACUCAACUAGGAGCUAGAUUCUCUCUCCACCCUGUCUUUCUAUUUACAUGUUUAUUCUUUUGCAUUUAUUGGUGCAAUUUGAGAUGGCAUUAUUCAGGUUGGGUCAAAUUCAAAUUUGAGUCACUUUAGUUCAAUGAAAACUAGGGUGUCUUUGGUUCAGGUCAUUUUUGUUUCGAGUCACUUUGGAUCCAGGUCAUCUUAGAUCUCGAGUUAUUUUGGAUUUGUGUCUUUUGAGGUUCAAGUUGUUGACUUUUAUAGUAAAAAUUGGGUUGGGUUCAAGUGGGUCUUUUGGGUUGCCUCAAAUUUUAUGAACCUCAAUUAAGUCCUUCAAAGUCACAUUUCGCUAACUAGUGGUUGUUUCACCUCCAAUAUUGAUAUGAUAAAUAUAUAUUAAAAAAAUUAGA
Durio zibethinus is the source of this 1833-nucleotide non-coding RNA. The record is from RefSeq and is a predicted model, not a curated record. Lineage: Eukaryota; Viridiplantae; Streptophyta; Magnoliopsida; Malvales; Malvaceae.